Molecule: transfer RNA, 83 nt
Filed under: Allium guttatum
Lineage: Eukaryota; Viridiplantae; Streptophyta; Magnoliopsida; Asparagales; Amaryllidaceae
Description: tRNA-Tyr
Source: RNAcentral
GGGGUGAUGCCCGGGGGGGUAAAGGGGAAGGGCCGUUAAUUUGUUGACGGCUGUUUUCGGUGGUUUAAAUCCAGGUUGGCCCC